RNAcentral lists this ribosomal RNA (735 nucleotides) under uncultured Lachnospiraceae bacterium. Its description in RNAcentral is "bacterial SSU rRNA". It matches the Rfam family "Bacterial small subunit ribosomal RNA", at positions 31 to 766 of the family's 1533-position model. The record is from RNAcentral. Lineage: Bacteria; Bacillati; Bacillota; Clostridia; Lachnospirales; Lachnospiraceae.
GAACGCUGGCGGCGUGCUUAACACAUGCAAGUCGAGCGAAGCACUUUUGCGGAUUUCUUCGGAUUGAAGCAAUUGUGACUGAGCGGCGGACGGGUGAGUAACGCGUGGGUAACCUGCCUCAUACAGGGGGAUAACAGUUGGAAACGGCUGCUAAUACCGCAUAAGCGCACAGUACCGCAUGGUACCGUGUGAAAAACUCCGGUGGUAUGAGAUGGACCCGCGUCUGAUUAGCUAGUUGGUGGGGUAACGGCCUACCAAGGCGACGAUCAGUAGCCGACCUGAGAGGGUGACCGGCCACAUUGGGACUGAGACACGGCCCAAACUCCUACGGGAGGCAGCAGUGGGGAAUAUUGCACAAUGGGGGAAACCCUGAUGCAGCGACGCCGCGUGAGCGAUGAAGUAUUUCGGUAUGUAAAGCUCUAUCAGCAGGGAAGAAAAUGACGGUACCUGACUAAGAAGCCCCGGCUAACUACGUGCCAGCAGCCGCGGUAAUACGUANGGGGCAAGCGUUAUCCGGAUUUACUGGGUGUAAAGGGAGCGUAGACGGCAUGGCAAGCCAGAUGUGAAAGCCCGGGGCUCAACCCCGGGACUGCAUUUGGAACUGUCAGGCUAGAGUGUCGGAGAGGAAAGCGAAAUUCCUAGUGUAGCGGUGAAAUGCGUAGAUAUUAGGAGGAACACCAGUGGCGAAGGCGGCUUUCUGGACGAUGACUGACGUUGAGGCUCGAAAGCGUGGGG